This 1054-nucleotide long non-coding RNA is filed under the name Anas platyrhynchos platyrhynchos (common mallard). RNAcentral describes it as "lncRNA (ENSAPLG00000030873.1)". The record is from RNAcentral. Lineage: Eukaryota; Metazoa; Chordata; Aves; Anseriformes; Anatidae.
UAUACUUACAGAUUCAUAUUUGUUGCCAUAAAAUAGUUGGAUUAUUAUUCUGACUGCUCAUAUUUAACCCAUGUAAGGAAAUCUUAGCAAUACGAUAGUCAAAAUACAAGCACCUCUUCUACAAAAAUACUAACAAAACCUCUUACUUGACCAAUCAUAGGUUCUACUUUUAUUGUCCUGCAGCCCCUAUCAAAUAUUUUUCAAGUGUUAGCAAAAGAAAGGCCUUGUUGGAAGGAUUUGUUUGCCCUACUAUUCUGUGUAUUGCCAUGCGAAAAGCCAAGCAAGCCUCCCUGCCUUUCACCUGCCCAUUUAGCAAAGGACUUGAGUGACUGAUCUACAUCAGCUGCUGCAAGUAACAAGGCAGCCCUGGGGAGGAAACAAGCUGGCAUAUUCUAGUCAAUCUGCACAUGGUCAGGCCACCGGGACCUCUGUUAAGAAAGAAGACCCCCUGGCAACACCAGCUGAAUGAGCUCUCAGCAGAAAUAACAAGCAGUUCUGAUGGUACAACACUAUCUAAUUUUUAAGUUGACAAGACUGACCUUUCGCUCUUUAAAAAUGGCACUUUCUCAAGACCUAAAGUAAGCUGCAAGUGAAAACUGCCUUCUAACUUUGUCUUGAACAACAGAAAAUAACUGAUCUUCUUAAUUGUUCCAUCGUAUUUCCUUGCAUCUGGUAAAGCACAGUCAUAGCAAACUGAGUAUUUCAGGGGACUGUGAUUUGUAUAGUUAUCACACGAGUUUAAGACUGUUAAAUUCCUUUCUUAGCCUGCUCCAGUCUGAUAUUUGAGAAUCAUUCUGUUUGUUUUCAUCUCUCAGACUAGAAAGCAGUCCCACCCCAAGCAAGAUGUGCAUGGCCAACAGAGGAAUUGCAUUAUUCCAGUCGUUGGGGAGGCAGCACAAGACCUGGAAGCAUGGAUUUAAUUUUUAGCAGUCACACAGUCCCUGGAUGAUCCUGGGCAAGUUUUUCUCUGCAGAUUUGCUAAUAAUGUUAGAGUAUCUUGUGGUUUAAUUAUAUGAGAAAUAAAAUUAAAAAUGCCUAUUGCUCUAUGGCUGAG